This 752-nucleotide ribosomal RNA is filed under the name uncultured prokaryote. RNAcentral's name for it is "bacterial SSU rRNA". It matches the Rfam family "Bacterial small subunit ribosomal RNA", at positions 28 to 798 of the family's 1533-position model. The record is from RNAcentral.
GAUGAACGCUGACAGAAUGCUUAACACAUGCAAGUCGAUUCGAUUUACCUUCGGGUAUUGAGGAUGGCGGACGGGUGAGUAACGCGUAAGGAACUUGCCUCUUGGUCUGGGACAACUGUUGGAAACGACAGCUAAUACCGGAUAUUAUGAGAUUCUCGCAUGAGAAACUUAUGAAAGCUAUAUGCGCCAAGAGAGAGCCUUGCGUUCCAUUAGCUAGUUGGUGGGGUAACGGCCCACCAAGGCGACGAUGGAUAGCCGGCCUGAGAGGGUGAACGGCCACAAGGGGACUGAGACACGGCCCUUACUCCUACGGGAGGCAGCAGUGGGGAAUAUUGGACAAUGGGCCACAAGCCUGAUCCAGCAAUUCUGUGUGCACGAUGAAGGUCUUCGGAUUGUAAAGUGCUUUCAGUUGGGAAGAAGAAAGUGACGGUACCAACAGAAGAAGCGACGGCUAAAUACGUGCCAGCAGCCGCGGUAAUACGUAUGUCGCAAGCGUUAUCCGGAUUUAUUGGGCGUAAAGCGCGUCUAGGCGGAAAAAUAAGUCUGAUGUUAAAAUGCGGGGCUCAACUCCGUAUUGCGUUGGAAACUGUUUUUCUAGAGUACUGGAGAGGUGGGCGGAACUACAAGUGUAGAGGUGAAAUUCGUAGAUAUUUGUAGGAAUGCCGAUGGAGAAGUCAGCUCACUGGACAGAUACUGACNCUAAAGCGCGAAAGCGUGGGGAGCAAACAGGAUUANAUACCCUGGUAGUCCAC